CCUGCGUCACCUCCAAAGCCCUCCACCAGACUCUGCGCUUCCACAACUCAAAAAAAUUCCUUUUAAAUAGUUUUUUUUUUUUUUUUUUAAAGUAAGUAUAAGAUACAUUUGAGGAAAUGUGUCAAAUGUGCAUACAGUGGCGCUCUCUAGCUGCGGGUUCUGCAACUAUGGAUUCAGCUACGGAGGAUCAAGAAGAUUCUAGAACAAUUGUGUCUGUGCGUUUCUUCUGUGCAGGGCUGGGAUGGACCCUGGUGGUGGCACAGGCUGAAUGAGUGCUCUGAGCUCCCCCCAGCCCAACAUACAUGUUUGUCCUUGUCCCUCAACAAUAUAGAAACAAGAGGAUACACAGCACUUACACUGCAUCAGGAGCCAGGAGUCAUCGAGAGACAGUUUAAGGCCUGUGGGGGGGUGUUUGUGGAUGAGGAACCUGAGCCUUCCUCAGAUUUAGGGAUCCCUGGGGGCCCUGGAGCAAAUCCCCUGUGGAUACCAAGUGACAAGCUUAUUAUAAUCCUCACACAACCCUGCGAGGCAGAUGCUACCAUCGUGCCCAUUUUCCAGAUGAGGAAACUAAGGUACAGAGAGGUGAAGCACUUGCCCCAGGUCACACAGCUGGGGUUGGCAGAGCUGAGACUGGGACCUGGAUGGUUUGACUCUGAGAUUAACUAUUGAGCCUUACAGCCUCUCAGUCCAAGUGUUGUGACGGCCGCUGACUGGGAUCCCAACUUCCUGAUCUUCACGUCCUUGUGAAACCUCCUCCUUUGGAAUGUGCAUUAGAUCCAAGGAUUCUCUUAUGACAAUUAGAAUGUGACCUAGAGAUGGGAUGUCACUUCCUGUUUAGGACAUAAAAGGGCUGCGGCUACGUCUUGCUCCUCCCUCAUGCUCUCUGACACUUGCUGACUCUGCGGAAGCCACCUGCCAGACUGCAGUUGUCCCCUGGAAAGGCCCACGUGACAAGGGCCUGACACAACUUGUGGCCAAGAGCCUGUGAGGACCAUAUCCCACCAACACCCAGGGGGCGAGCUUGGGUCCUUCCACACCUGAGCUCUCAAAUGAGACCAAAACUCUGACUGCUAUCGUGAUGGUGGCCUCACAAGAGACCUUGGGGACAACGCACCCAGCCAAGCCACACCAGAAGCGACUAAAUAACCAGCAUUGGUUGUUUAAAGCGCUAAGCUUUGGGCUGUUUAGACACAGCAUGGACCAGGCGAGACCAAGGGCAGACCCUCCUUGGCUUAGAUGGGGCGGCCUUCCAGUAAACCCGGCUGAGUAGGAAAUGUCACAAGCUGGGAACACGACCAACCCGCCUAACCCACCCACUACCAGCGAAGCUGCCCAGGGCGCUGUGGACUCAGUUGUUUCCCCUGCUGGAUUUUGGGGGGGCUGACCAGAGCUGCACUCUCUGCUGCUGCCCCACCUCGAAAGUGAAUCAUUCCCGUGUCGCUGGCCCCAGGGGAGAAGCAAAAUUCAAAUUUCAAAGCGUGAUUUCUCCUGGACGGUGUGGCUCCUGCACCACCCCAAGGUCAAGCCACUGUGGUGGAGCCCCUGUGGGUCAGGACCGCUGUGAGGCCCUGGCCUGUUUCCCCUCCAACCCGGAGGCCAGUCCCAUGAUGGUUCGGUGCCUCUUCAGGGUCAGAACGUCCACAGACCAUUAAUGUACAAGCCCCAUCCUAC
This 1671-nucleotide long non-coding RNA is filed under the name Marmota monax (woodchuck). The record is from RNAcentral. Lineage: Eukaryota; Metazoa; Chordata; Mammalia; Rodentia; Sciuridae.